CUCACAGCAACCAUUAAAACGACAAAGAUGCAGUGCAGAUAGGGAAACAAAACGACAAUAUUUACAUGGCAACCCUAGUUGACCGACACCUCAGCGAUGCUUGCUUCUGGUUUCUCCACUGUAAAGCCUGCAAUGAUCACAUGCAACCCACCUCAUUUUAAAAUCAAAACCAAAUAGUCAGGGUUGGAAAAUGAAAUUCUAGAAUUGUAGAUCUUUGCCAUCUGAUGAGAAAAGUAAAUAGAUCUAAAGGCUUGAAUCCACUGAAGCACAAAUUAGCGUUCGACAAAAAUACCAGACACUCGAGACUCGCAUGCAUGCAAAAAGAAGAUGAAGAUCUAUUCCCAUGCGCCACUAUAACACCUGAAAAUAUCUCGAGAUGUAUAGUACAGAGCCAAAGAUCCUUCUCAUCUCGUGUGUGCUUGCAAAGAAAAGCAAAGAGAAAAGAAAAACUAAAAAGAAAAAGAAGUCAAGAACCCAUCCACCUCUUUUUUUUUCCCAUCCAGGUUAACCAAACAUGCAUAGCUCUGAAAGCUGAUAUGAAACUAUGGAGGAUCAAUUUAUAUACCAGUCAUAGACAGUGGGGGAGUUAGGCUGUGGCUUGUCGAAGAGCUGAGCACCGAGACCCUUAGUGGCAAGGUUGCUACCAGGGUGGAAAACGCUCCUCCAUACGUUGUCCUUGCGAACCGAAGCCGGAGUUGUGGGCGUCACCGGUGUGGUAGGUGUCCCAGGACUUGCUGGCAUGGAUAUGGACCUCUGGAACUUGCUCGUCUCUCCUCCCCCACCUACAGAAAUCAAAGGAAAAUAUCAUCCAUGAAUACAAGAUAAACUAUUUACUUCUAAUUGAUGGUUAAAGACUUGGGUUUUGUCAGCUCUAGUGAUACCUAUGGUCAGGGGCUUGGUGCUGAUCUUUCUGAGCUUGCCAAGGCCACGAUCGGGCUGAGGCCCGGCAACGACGUCAUCCCACAUCUUGUCGAGCAACAUCUUUCUUCCUCCUUUUUUAGCUUGCUGAGGCCUGAGUGAGGGUUUCAGUAAGGUGCCUGGACCAGAUUAUAUAGAGAGUAUGAGAGCGGGUCUCAAAUAUCUAUUAUUGAUGGGAAGUUUCCAGACAGGAUUUUCCUACUUCCAGGCACGAUUUUCUCGGGUAUAAUAACAAAAUAAAGGAUUGAUGGAAUAAUGGAAAUUAUUCACUUAUACAUCCUCAAAUAUUAUCGUUCUAUAAUACAUGCGAUUUAAGACUUAUUCAUUUAAAUUAAUAAAAGUAAUUAAUAAUUUUAAUUUAAAAAAUUAUAAUAAUUUAUUUAAAGAAUUAAUAUUAAUUUAAAAUUUUUAAAAUGAUAGAUAAUUUGACAGAGGGAAUAAUAAUAGUCCAUGUAAAAUUACUAGGAAUGAGUCGGGGNNNNAGUGGAAAUAAGAAAAGUGGCAAGUGGACAUAGAAUAAAAGAUAUGGAUAAGGAUGAGGAAGAGUUGAAGACCGGGUAAAAUAAUAGUAUCUGGUUAUGAACUGAUGGGUGGUUUGCUGGACAAGUGUAAUUGUUUGUCCUAUUCCAUGGACAGAUGUGGGUUCCAACUUCCAUCAGUGUGGAAAAUUAUUAUGAUUUAUGGGAUUUGAUGGCGUAACGUGGGGCCUACUGAUUUGUUAAUAAUGGGAUUUUGUUUCUGUGGGUGCUGGGCUUGACUACUGUACAGUGCCCGUAUGUCCGGACGAUGAGAUUUUGUUUUUUUGGAAUGGCGGACGGUGAGAUUAUCAGCACUUCAACAGACAUGGGUCCCAAUUUUAACAAAAUUUCUUUUUCUUGGGCUGAUAUCUUUUAUUGGUUUCCAAGGAAUGUAUGUUCCAGCAAGUCGAUCGCUCCUAGAAUAAAAUGUAAUGUGAUAAUCUUUGAAUGGGGAUCACAUUUUGAGCAUGUUCUUUCUUUUCUCCACAAAUUACAAGCAGAGAAGGAAAAAUCGUCCGUGAUUUGAUAAAUGAUAUGUAUUUACAUAUGAAAACUAACCUAAAUUGUCAUGGGCAGAUUUCAACUAGUAAAGAUAAGCCUAAUCAGGCCCAGCUUAGCGAUCUUGCUCUUGGCCCAUGAGAAACGGUUGGGCGCCAUUAACAGACAUAAUUGUGACUCAAGUCCUUUUAUUUUUAUUUGAACUACAGAUUCUCUUCGUACUAAGUUGUCUCCUGGCGAGUAUCUUUCGGCCAUUAACAUUAAUUAGCUAUUUAAGUUAAUUAAAAAAAAAAAAAAAAGAAGAAGGAGAAGAAGAAGAAGAAGAGGCUCUAGCUACUCGGAAGCACCGUCAACAAUUUUCAUUCAUCUUUCUUACUAACAAAAAUGGUCAACUUUUUUCCAACUUUGGUAUCGGGCUGAACAGUUCGCUUAAUUACUAUCCAAUAGAACCAAUCCAAUUAGUAAGAAUGGAAGCUUUAUCUCCUUCAAUCGAUCAGGAUUCGACUUUAUUAGGAGAUGGAAGCUUUUUCUCCUUCAAUCAAUCAGGAUCCGACUUUAUUAGGAGCAAUUCAAAAUUAUUUAUCUUGAAUGCACAAUGUGAAUAUAAAGGAUCCCCUCACAUCCUACUAAUAAUUAAUAUCUGAAAGAAGGGUGAAAUAUAUAGAUACCUUUCAAGAAGCUUUGAUUUUGUCCGACUCUAGGAAACCAAGGAUCCUGCCAAAAAAGAACAAGAAAAUAAAUCCAGAACCAGAAGUUUUUCACGCUUUCCCUUUAAUCGAACAUUAAAUAGAAAAGCACGGAAGCGAUAUGAACAUCAUGGAAAAACAAACGUUAGGGGACAGUCGCUACUCCACAUCCAGCUAUACCUUUGUAUAAAGCUGCAGGUUCUAGAAAUCAAGUUCUCAACUAAAUGGCAACCCACCUCCAAUUGCAAAACAAGAAUUCCAUGGAUGUUGCUGCAGAUAGCUAUUCAUGCGAAUCACCCUUCUUUACAGGCUUAUCUAUCAAGAUCUGUGCCCAGCUGAUAUUUCAAUCUCCAGUGAACAGCUGCAACUACAAACGUCUGUGUCAAUCUAGGCAACUGAAACAUAAGCCUGGCUCCAAAUGUGCAACUCAUAGCAAUAACAAGAGAUUGAUCUAGGGCAAACAUAAUAACACAAAGGUCUCUGACAACCCUAAUCAUAAAGACAGAAACCAAGAGGAGCAUACAAAUAUGUGAUUGGACCAGAAAAUAGUUCAGUCGUUUGUCUCCCCAUGCAGGGAAUGUCAUGCUCAAGCCAAGUAUUAAAGCACAUAAUGUUCCAGAAGAAACUUUCAAGUCACAUUAAACAAAAAUUCUUCUUUCCAAUUUUUCUAAAUUGACUAAUUGAGUUUCCAAUUGUUCACUUGUGGAAGGCUUCAAUUCUGCUCAAGCUAUUAGUUACAGUAAGCAUAAUUCAAUAAACCUCCAUAAUUGUUUUUCUUUGUCACAUGGGCUGAAGCACAAUCAGAGCUUACUGAUGACACCCUCUAAAGAUUAAAUUAGUAAUAACCUACAUUUGUUACAACAAUAUAAUCAGAAAAACACUCGACUGCUAAAAAAUUCCACAUCUUGAUUUCCCUCAUUUUGCACCAGUUCAGUUUUCCAAUAUGUGCACCUGAAUGUCAAAUAUGCAUAAUUAGGCACAGCCUAAGACUCUAAAUCUUUAACAAAAGCACUUCACCAUUAGAAAGGUCCAAGGAAGCAUCAUUAGACCUAUGUUACUUGCACUCGGAUUCAGGAGUCAGAAAUGGGUGCAUAUCCCUGUGUCUGACUUGUCAACUUUCUGAAUAAAAAAUACGGACAUAUGGAUCUAAGUUUAGACAUGGAUGCUUGCAUACGUAAUGUGAGAUAAAAUAAACUAGAACAAAGAAAAAUAAAAUUAUCUAGGAAUAGUUAAUAGUCUAAAUAAAUUAUCAAAUACAACCAAAUACAUCAUUCGAAAUUCAACCAAAUAACUUUUUUUAUCUAAAUACAUGCUCUUCAUCCUGAGAGAAAAGAAUGCUCUAAACUAUUUAUGAAUAUGUCACUCAAAAAAGUAUCGGAUACAUUCCAUGUCUUAUCCUAUAAAGUGUUAUGUCGACAAGGGUACGCUAUGGUAAAAUAAAGAGUCCGAGUAUUAGAGCAUUAGACACUGCUACAAAUCAGAAUAAACAAAAAUUAAAUUCAUUCUUUUGACUUAAAUUCUGUUCUUGAUUUACACUUGUUCCAGUGAUGUAAACCUCUUCUUUCCUACUUGUAGUUUUAUCAUCUUGCAUCUCUUCUUUUUCUUUUUUUUUCCUUUGGGACAAACAAAUAUGGAUGCAACCUAGUGCACACAGGUUCUGUAUCUUAUAACCUUGUAGUCUGGUUGUUUAGUGAUAGAUUUCAGAUAAAGCAUGUGGAGAAGAAAACCUGAACCAAUCACAGGUUGGAGCUGAGAACAGAAGAGAAAUAAGGCUCUAAAGACCAUCUAUAUUCCUCAAUGAAAUCAAGUUUACAAAAUAUUUGGUAUAUAAUUAUGAAUAUCCCCAUUCUUUCAAUUUGUGUCCCCACCAUACCUUAUGUUUCUUCUCUAGGCACUAGGCAGUGAGUUUCUUCCAAACAGCUUCCCACCAAAUGAACAUGGAGUAUAUUCUCUGCCUUGCUCCAUCCAUAAGAAUUACGAUUUCUCCACUGAAACAGUCACUUCCUGCUUCACCAUAGAGCCCGGUCCAAUACUUCAUGGUUGAGAUUCUGGUAUUCUACUAGGAUUAAAUUAUGAACUACAAUAGAGCAAGGCACAUCAAUUAGCACUUCACAGUUGAAAGAUGCAGUGGUAGCUCUCAGAACUAUCCAAAGGAUAUCAUGCAAAAUUUGCCUAGUACAUGCUAUCAACAAUAAUUUCAUACAUAAAGGGAUGUCAUAAGCAAAAUAAGUUAAGCACCUCACUCCACAAAAAAUCUCCAUAUAUUUGACAGCAUAGUAGAAAAACAACAUGCAAUAACACAGGCAUCUGAAAACCACAACAAAAUAUGAUAAACCAGCAUUUACACAAAAAAGACAAAAAAAAGAUAAAAACACUGAGUGUCAAAUAUAAUGGCAGAAGUGCAAAACAAUUAAGCACAAAAGUAAAAACUGCCAAAUGACAAGAUCACUCUGCUGCCUUCCAUUAACUAGUUCACAAAUAUUUGCAACUCGUUCACCGUUCUUGAAAAAGUGUUCCAAAUUGAUAAAUCAUAUCCAAUUAUAACCUCAAAUAGGGGUGAAAACACAUUGGUUUUACCCAAUAAACCGAACCAAUCUAAUUCAGUUUUUCUGUUCGAUUUUUCAGAUAAUUUAACUCAGUUUUGAUUAAUAAUUAAAGGGAAUUUCAGUUUUUUGUUUAUUAAGAUUUGAAAACUGCAAAAACUGAACUAACCGAGUCUAUAUGUGCACCCAAAAGCUGUGUCAUUUUAUCCAUGUCUAUAAAAACAUGCUUUCAUUCAUUUGUAACUUGUCUUCCAUUUCUUUCACAGAGCUAAGAGUUGUUUCUCUUACCUCUUCUUCAACCUCUCCUCUAUCCCACAUCCACCUCAUCCAUGUCCAUCCUCCUCCAUAAACAAAGCCAAUGACCCAUGGACCAUCACAUCCACCCUCCAGGCAUAAUUGAUUCCUCCACAAAGUUGGUGUAGCACCAUAGGAGCAUGGUCUUAAAAAAAGAAUGUUACAUUGCAUAGCAACUGUUAUUUAUAGGUUUCUGGCCCUCACAUUACUGUUACUGUUACUCCCAUUAUUUAAGGGAAAAGAAAAUUUUGUUCCUAUAAUGGUCGUUAUAACAAUAACAGCCAUUAUUUACCAUUAAGUAACGGUAAGGGACCAUUAUCUAACCUUUUCUCAAAACUCGAUGGAAGCAACAACUCUCAUUUUUUUUAAAGUUUGGGAAGUUUUAAGCUGUUGUGUCUCAUUUCCUCUCUCAAAUUUCCAUAAAAGUUAACUAUCUAUCACCAAAACUUCACUUCUUCUCUCUUGAGCUAAGAUUCGCAACCGUCUUUCUAAUUAUACACAUCUAAGUUAUUUAUCUUUGUUUUGGUGUGUUUUACUUAUUUAUUGAGGAAAAUUAUGUUUGAUGCCAAGUUUUUAUUAUUAAAUUUAUAAUAUUGAAGAAAUAACCUUGCCAUUUAAAGUGUUUUGAGCACUUCUUGCUGCCUAAAUUAUUAUUUUAGCUUUAAGUUGAUUAUUGCUAAUGAUGUCUAACGAUGAUAGAUAUAAAAGAUAUUAAAUCUGUGUAUUUAAUUGCAUUCAUAUUAUUAAACAUUUCUUCAUUUCAUGAACUUUGCAGUUCGUUUGAAAAAUUUGCAUAGCAAUAGACCGUAAUAUUACAGCCUUUAUUGUUGCAGCCGUCCUUUGUCAUGCAACUGGAUCUGGAUCUCUAUGUUGUUGCAUGUAGCUCAAUUGCCUCACCAAGUCGCAUCAUCAAUGUUUGAUGAGAUUUCGAAGGUCUAAAUUUCUCAAAAUGUUGACAUUUCUAAGAUAUUGUAUCAAUCUCGUUUAUGUUGUUUUGAUUGAGAAUUGCUAGAUUUGGUUAAUUAUGUUGAUUCUACUUUCUGUUUGGGUAAAAUUUGAGUAAUUUUGUCAACUGUUGUUGUUGAUACGAAUAUAACCAUGUCAAGGUAUUUAAUCUAUUUUGUUGGCGAAAGCUUCCUCACCUCUAUAAUUUAUGUAUUUCAAUUUACAUUGUUGGUAACUUGGUUUGAACACAAGUUGAGAGAAGCUUUCUUUGUAUUGUCAGGUAGGAGAUGGAGAGUGCUGAAAUCUUGAAUAGAUUGAUUCCAAGCCAAAUUGAACCGACUUUUUAUCGGUUCUUUGGUUUACUUAUUACUUCAAUAUGGUUCUGUCUUUGAAAAACUUGCACUUUGGUUUUCAUUGUUUUUGUUCGAAACCGAACCAACCUAUUACAUACCUCUAACCUUAAUAUUUUCAAUCCCAUGUGUAUCUAAAAGAACAUAGACACAUUCCAAUGGACCAAAGAGGCCUAAGUGAAAUAUACUAAAACACAAGACGAAUUUGAAAAAAAAAAAAAGUUGAGUUUUAAUUAUGUCAAAUAAUCCUCAUACAUACUGUUGAUUUUCUUAAUUACUAGAAUGUAUAAGAAACUGUACAAAAGCAACAGAAAGGACUUGGCUUGGCAUGUCAAGAUUUCCCAUACUUUGUACAAUAUCCCUGCAAAUGAAAGAAGCAACCAUCAAAUGCCAAGCACGAAGAAGUUUCAAAUCUAAAAAUUUCUCCUUUCCCCAAAUGCAUAUUGUAGAUAAAACUAAGGUGCUCACCUCAAUAAGCUUUGCAAUUUUAGGUUGGCAAGAAGAAAGAUAUUGCUUAA
RNAcentral lists this long non-coding RNA (7270 nucleotides) under Manihot esculenta (cassava). RNAcentral describes it as "long non-coding RNA (MESC_LNC009427)". Lineage: Eukaryota; Viridiplantae; Streptophyta; Magnoliopsida; Malpighiales; Euphorbiaceae. The record is from RNAcentral.